Molecule: long non-coding RNA, 446 nt
Organism: Chelonus insularis
Lineage: Eukaryota; Metazoa; Arthropoda; Insecta; Hymenoptera; Braconidae
Exons: 3
Source: RefSeq, a predicted model, not a curated record
GGAACUUGAUUCUGUGCAAUUCUGUACUUAGACACUUUAUUUAUUGUAGCUUUUAACAAGUGCAAUUACAAAACGAUUUUUUCAAUAGUAUUCAAAGAAAAAUCAUUCAAGCACAUAUCAUUUAAUUUGAUACAUUCAUUAUGCAGCUAUUGUGAUUUUGUUGGAAUAAUGAGAUGAAUUAAAUGGAGAAUAUCUAAGAAGUAGGAAAGUAGUAGAUGAAGAAGGAGAUAGAAUAGAAAGAGGUUAAAAAAUACAGAAAAAUGGAAGGGCAGUUCAACGUUAUUACAUUUCCACGUGGACGUCAUAGGAAGACUUUAAUUUUAGAAAAUAUCAACUGGAAAUUUUUAUUACAAUAAGAAAUAAAAUAGAACUCAAUUAAAAAUUUUAAUUACCGCAAGAUUUUUUAUGGAUAUAUUGCAGGAAUUAGAAUGAUGUGAAUAGCUGAA